GCGCAUCACCUUCUCCCUCUUAACCACCAUCAAAAUAUUUCAGCCACCAUUACUCCACCGUCCGACGUCGUUUUACCACACCACCACCACCAUUGAACUACUCUCAUCUUCCUCUUCAAAAAGCCACCAACUUAUUAUUAGAUUGGUAAGAUUUUAAAAACCCUAACCACCACCUUCUCUCUUACUUUCCGGCCACCACAAAUCUCCAUUUGAAAAACUAAUAUGAUUUUCUUCUUACCCAUGAUGUCUGCAACAAAACUCCUACAUCUAUUUUGGGAUUGGAGAACUUUCACCGGCGACCACCGUGCCGGAAACCGCUACAACCGCGCCGGUGACCACCACUUAAUUUCUGCAAAAACUCAACAAUUUAUGAACUAGAAUCAUACAAUUACUCCAUUCUUUCCUUCUUCUAUUCUUCACACAUGACAUACCAUGAACAACAGAACUUGAUCAUAGAGAAAGAAAGUUGUUAUUUCUAGGUUCUUCACACAUGGCAUAUAUGAGAAGAAGAUGAAGAUGAAGUUUUGUAUUUUUAUUAUUUCUGGGUUUUUAUUUCUAUGUUUUCAUAUUUUAUUUUUGGUUUUCUAUUUUUUAGAUGGAUGAAUAUGGAAGUGUGAAG
Molecule: long non-coding RNA, 619 nt
Filed under: Medicago truncatula (barrel medic)
Lineage: Eukaryota; Viridiplantae; Streptophyta; Magnoliopsida; Fabales; Fabaceae
Description: long non-coding RNA (MTRU_LNC005089)
Source: RNAcentral